This 466-nucleotide ribosomal RNA is filed under the name uncultured Smithella sp. RNAcentral's name for it is "bacterial SSU rRNA". It matches the Rfam family "Bacterial small subunit ribosomal RNA", at positions 338 to 795 of the family's 1533-position model. Lineage: Bacteria; Pseudomonadati; Thermodesulfobacteriota; Syntrophia; Syntrophales; Smithellaceae. The record is from RNAcentral.
CCUACGGGGGGCUGCAGUGAGGAAUAUUGCGCAAUGGGGGAAACCCUGACGCAGCAACGCCGCGUGAGUGAGGAAGGUUUUCGGACCGUAAAGCUCUGUCGAGCGGGAAGAAAUGCAUAAUGGCUAAUAUCCAUUAUGCUUGACGGUACCGCUAAAGGAAGCACCGGCUAACUCCGUGCCAGCAGCCGCGGUAAUACGGGGGGUGCUAGCGUUGUUCGGAAUCAUUGGGCGUAAAGAGCGUGUAGGCGGCUGGAUAAGUCAGAUGUGAAAGCCCUGGGCUUAACCUAGGAAGUGCAUUUGAAACUGUUCAGCUUGAGUAGGGGAGAGGAAAGUGGAAUUCCUGGUGUAGAGGUGAAAUUCGUAGAUAUCAGGAGGAACACCGGUGGCGAAGGCGACUUUCUGGCCCUAUACUGACGCUGAGACGCGAGAGCGUGGGUAGCAAACAGGCUUAGAUACCCCAGUAGUC